UAGGCAAUGAGAGAUUACCUGGGAGACAUCACACUGAAGGACAAGGUAUUGCAAGGGAUUAGACCAACUGGAGGAUGUCACAAUAGUGCCAUUAGGGGUGAGGGAAUGUAGAUGAGUCAGAGUAAGGUUUUAUAAAGAGGGUGAUGGGGCCAGAUAGAAAGAAAUGGUUUGGGGGACAUCAUAGCAAAAAGUUUAGAGCUUUGGGGAGGUUACUUGUAAGGCAGUUGUAGAGUGUGGAAGGGCCAGAGCAGUCACAGGGUGGUAGGUGUAAAGAGGAAUGAAGGUGAUGUGGGUGACUCCCGAGACCCCACCCUACAGAUAAGAGGGUCACUCCCCACUGCCCUCAUCAUCCCUUUCACAUACACUUCACCAUAUUGUGAAAGGAAUAAGACCCUGGAGAGGAUGUUCAAGGUUGGGGAGAUCAUGAGAGCAGUGGGGGGAAUGGUGAGAGUUACAGGGGCCCUAAGGGGGGGAGAGGACGACUAUAAUUUAGUCUAAACAAUUGAGUUACAGAGAGUUAUUGUGAAAGAUGGAGGGUCCCAAGCGGGAAGGGUCAUAGAGAGCUGCAGGGGGUUUAGUCAUAAUAGCUCAGGGGUCACAGUGCUGAGUGUGUAAAGGGAUAUAAAGAGAGAAAGAGGAGGGAGAGGAGGAGGAUGGUGAGGGGGCUGCGGCGAGGAUGAGAAAGAAAUGUGGGAGGGACACAGCGUUCACAACUAAAGGUGCGAGAAGAUGAAGGGUGUGAAGAAGGGGAAUGAGGGAGCCAAGGGACAACUGCCAAGGGAGCCCGCAGACCCCGCCUCCCCGGCUCUGGGGCCUCCCCGGGUCUCCGCGCCCAUCCCAGCAGCCACACUCACCCUUCGCCUCGGCGCCUCACAUAACAUCCGCCCGGCCGCUACGGCUACGGAUCCUGGCUCAGACCAAACUGCCUCCACAAGCGAAGCAAGCGUUGAGCCGCGCGCUUCGAAGCCACGCCUUUCAUCCAUCUCCUACCUCCCGCCACGCCUUCCUCGUCCCGCCCCCUGUCUCCCCCCCGCCCUCCGCUCCAUAAAUCACGCCCCAUCCAAUCCCCACCUCCUGUCUCCGACCAGCUGAAGCCACGCCCACCCCUCCCUCCUCUCUUGAGCAGGAACCCAAGUGACUAUCCUGCCCCUUCUCCCUCCCCUGUCCUCCUCGCCCCGAAGCCACGCCCCAACCCUGCCCAUUUCCCCCACCCCCACCCCGCCGACUUAGACAGGAGCUCGCGCCUUCUUUCUUCUGUGUGCUCUCUUGAUAACUUUCAGCGGUUUCCAUGUAUUUGACUAUCAGAUGACCUUACAGACAGGCACACACAUUUGUUUAUAUAAAUAUGUUCUUAUAGUGUGCAGCACA
Molecule: non-coding RNA, 1368 nt
Organism: Monodelphis domestica (gray short-tailed opossum)
Lineage: Eukaryota; Metazoa; Chordata; Mammalia; Didelphimorphia; Didelphidae
Source: RefSeq, a predicted model, not a curated record